This 178-nucleotide small nucleolar RNA is filed under the name Alligator sinensis (Chinese alligator). RNAcentral describes it as "Small nucleolar RNA SNORD97". It matches the Rfam family "Small nucleolar RNA SNORD97". Lineage: Eukaryota; Metazoa; Chordata; Crocodylia; Alligatoridae. The record is from Rfam by way of RNAcentral.
UUGCCCAAUGAUUAUAGCAAGACGCGUUAUUACGAGGACUAAUGCUGGAACUCUACUUCUUACUCUUACUCUUCCCUUUCUUCUUUGUCCUUCUUUGCUUUCACCUUUUUUAUCCCUCACUUUUAUUUUCUUGGGGUGUCCAGCGUCCUAUGAACAAGAUUAUGAGAUAUGAGGGCAA